RNAcentral lists this unclassified non-coding RNA (185 nucleotides) under uncultured Herpotrichiellaceae. Its description in RNAcentral is "sequence contains ITS1". The record is from RNAcentral. Lineage: Eukaryota; Fungi; Ascomycota; Eurotiomycetes; Chaetothyriales; Herpotrichiellaceae.
UCGAGUGAGGGUCCUCUGGGCCCCAUCUCCAACCCGUGUCUAUCAUACCCUGUUGCUUCGGCGGGCCCGUCCUUAACUGGACCGCCGGGGAUCAUCGCCCCUGGCCAGCGCCCGUCAGUAGCCCAACCUUUAAAAUCUUUUAACUAAACGUGCCUUAAUCUAAGUACAAUUAUUAAAUAAAAGCA